GAUCAUGGCUCAGGACGAACGCUGGCGGCGUGCCUAACACAUGCAAGUCGAACGAAGCUCUGCGAUACAAGACUUCGGUCAAGUUGAACGGAUGACUUAGUGGCGGGCGGGUGAGUAACGCGUGAGGAACCUGCCUUUCAGUGGGGGACGAACAGUUGGAAACGACUGCUAAUACCGCAUAAUGUAUUCUGACCGCCUGAUCGGAAUACCAAAGAUUUAUUGCUGAAAGAUGGCCUCG
This 238-nucleotide ribosomal RNA is filed under the name uncultured bacterium. RNAcentral describes it as "partial 16S ribosomal RNA". It matches the Rfam family "Bacterial small subunit ribosomal RNA", at positions 15 to 233 of the family's 1533-position model. The record is from RNAcentral.